RNAcentral lists this long non-coding RNA (1391 nucleotides) under Coturnix japonica (Japanese quail). RNAcentral describes it as "lncRNA (ENSCJPG00005015396.1)". Lineage: Eukaryota; Metazoa; Chordata; Aves; Galliformes; Phasianidae. The record is from RNAcentral.
GACUUAGACUUUAACCUGGUAUUAGUUUGUGACUGUGAGGACACAGAGUAAAAUUAGAAUAACAACUUACCUUAGUUUCUAACCUCUCUUAUCUCUGGAUUUUUAAUUUCUAGGAUUGACUUUAUCCACAGAACACUUGGUAAAGAUUUGCUUCAUAUCCCUAAGACGACGAAGAAUUCAGAGAGAAACAGAGGUUCAAGUAAUAGCUAUGCUCAUUCACACCAUGAUUAACAUUGCACAGUAAAAGUAAGCUACUGAAUACACUGAAAGGUUUCUAUAAAAUAAAGAGCAAACAGAACUAUGGAUGUGUUUAAAGCUGAAAUGAAAAAAUAAAAUUAGGGAAAUACUUCAGCCUCUUCAGCUGAAUCAGACUCUUCAGCCUCUGCCUGUUGCUUUACAAGGAGACUAGGAGAGGACAUCUUAGUAAGUUUGCUGUGUGCCCUAUGAAGUGUAAUUCAAUGUAGUAUAAAUCACUGAAGGACAAUAGCCUAUAUUUGUUUUCUUGGAAUAACAACAACAGGAACCAUCUGGAGAACAGUCCAAGCAGACCGCAGCACAAGCCACAGAGAUUUUCUCAGACAAUUGCACUGCACAUACAUUCAUUUACUUCUGAAGUACAUCACUGGAAAUUGGCUGCCUGCCUUUCAAAAUGACGUCCUUUGGACUUCUAAUUGGUCCCUUGCUGGUUGGAAUGGGUGAAGAGAAACAGUUAAAAAUAUAACCAGCCAUACCUUCUGCCACCCAGCAUGGAAAGAGAAAGUGUAGACUAGUGGUCUGAGCUCUCCACGUAUAACACAUGAAUCAGAACUGGCAGACAAGCAGAUGCAUGUGCCAAGCACCAGCCUACCAGAGACAGCUUUGAAAAAUGAACUAAAAUGGCACAGGCAAUCCCACUUCAUUGACACUGAGCUUGUAGCAAUACAGCCUGGGGUUUCAUUGAAUGUCUAAGAAAAGGUACUGGAAAUUCGUUUCACUUUUCUUCACUUCCUGUUGUUGUUGUGUUGUGGGUUUUUUUGUGUGUGUUUGUUUGGUUUUUUUUUGGUAGCAGUUCAAAGGAAGAGGAGACAUUUACUAUUACAUGAACAUAUCACUAAUGAUGACUAGUUUAUCACAUACCACUUCUUCCAAUUUAUUUGAUUCUUGCCUCCUUGUAUCUUGAUCUUAAGCUACCACUAUGUUUACCAUCAUUAGCAACAAAUACAAUGCAAGCCUAGGGCAACAAAGAUUUUUAAAAUAUUCCAUCAAGGUUUUUACCUCAUGAAAUCUUCAGGAUUAUCCAUGAAUUGUGAGGAAUGUGUGCAUGCAGAUGAAGCAUCAUCAGCCCUAAUUUCUUCCAGGGCAAUGAAUAAUCAGACCUGAAGUAGAAGAAUAAAAGACCUGUUAUUUCAUCA